GCCCAAGUGGCGGAAUUGGCAGACGCGCUGCACUCAAAAUGCAGUUCUUCACGGAGUGUGGGUUCGAGUCCCACCUUGGGCA
This 82-nucleotide transfer RNA is filed under the name Rothia sp. (in: high G+C Gram-positive bacteria). RNAcentral's name for it is "tRNA-Leu". It matches the Rfam family "tRNA". From Rfam's summary of the family: Transfer RNA (tRNA) molecules are approximately 80 nucleotides in length. Lineage: Bacteria; Bacillati; Actinomycetota; Actinomycetes; Micrococcales; Micrococcaceae. The record is from RNAcentral.